CAAUUGGUAAAAACCCUGCUCCAAAUUUCGAAAAGCAAGGAACUUCUUUGCCUGAUACAUUAGCAUUGCCUACUAAUGACCAAAGAGCAAUGGGAGGGGAUGUACCGAGCUCUGUAUCGCAUACUGAAGUUAAUGCUGUAGCUGAUGAUGAUAUAUGUAAUAGAGUGGACAUUAGCAACCAACCUAGUAGCAGUAAAUCCAGAAUCUCUGGAGGUUUGGCUAUACUGGAUGUGGUUGAUGGGACAAGGAGGAGUAAAUCAAGUACACCAUCUUGUUCGCAAGAUAAUAAUGGGACAAGAAGAAGUAACUCAGGUACACCGACUUGUUCGCAAAACAAUAGUCCGGAUAGGAUCAUCCGCCAAAAGGGUCCACGUAUAGCAAAAGUUGUGAGGAGAGUCAAAUGCAAAGUAGAGCCUUUAAGCUAUGGAUGUGUGCUCUCUGGAAAAUCAUGGUGCAACCGCCAAGCUAUUUUUCCCAAAGGUUGCAAACUCGAAUAACAAAAGCAGAUGUAUAUUUUGCAAGUGCUUAAUGUCUAAUUCUUGUUUGGUGCAGGGUUUCGAAGCCGGGUUAGGUACAUAAAUAUAUUGGAUCCGACGAACAUGAGCUUUUACGUUUCAGAAAUUCUUGAUGCUGGACGCAAUAGUCCCUUGUUCAUGGUAAAAUUGAUAUAUUUUUUUGAUUCUAUUUAAAUUUGAACUGAGAAUGAUAUCAACCUGUGGUAUGAUCUUCUUGUCAGGUUUACUUGGAGGGUAAUCCGAGUGAGGUGUUUGCUCACUUGUCGCCUACAAGAUGCUGGGAGAUGGUAAGAGAAAGAGUAAACCAAGAGAUAAGUAAGCAACACAAAGCCGGUAAAUUAGAUCUUCCUCCUCUGCAGCCUUCUGGGAGUCCUGACGGUUUUGAAAUGUUUGGAUACACGUCACCCGCAAUCAUACAGGUAAAAAUCUUUACAAGUUUUUGACUUAACCUUAGACUUACAUGCUUGUUGUAAACUGCACUGGAACUUAUAUAUAUGUGGUUUUCUAAUUAUAUAAUACUAAAAUCAGUUUUAAAAAUUUUGAUUUAAAAAUGUUUGUAAAUCUAGUUGACAGAUAUAUAUACCUUAAUGUGGUAAACAAACAGGCUAUUGAAGCAUUAGAUGUGAAUCGAGUUUGCACGGAGUAUUGGGAUUCAAGGCCAUAUUCGAGGCCACAAGUUCAGUUCCCUGCAAACCCUCUUCCCAGAGAAGCCCCCAGACAAGGUCUAUUGCCUGCUGGAACAAACUCUACUCUCAAAGUUCUGCUCAAGAAAGCUAACAUGGAGGAACUAAGCUCGCUUCAGCAGGUUUUAAGCGAGUCUAACAUAGAUUUGGUGACCGAACUUGUGAAGGAAGAGAUUCAGAAUCGUAGCUGAAUUGACUCAAAAGGAGAUUGAUAUUAGUUGUGUACAUACAGAGUUGAUGAGGCUCCCUCUGCUCAUUCUUUUUUGGACACCCUUACAGAGGAAGGAUAGAAACAUAUAACUAGAACCCUGUUUCUUCUUCCGUUCUCUGGAAGCAACAAAGGAGAAAGAGAAAGAAAGAAGAUUUGUUAGGGUUCUUGAAACCAUUAGUUUUUGGUUACUAGUUGGUUUCCUUUUCAACAUCACUUACUAGUAUCGACUAUCGACAUAUAUGUUCCUCUGUUUUGAAAGUUCAAAGGACUUCGGAUUUAACGUGAUUAUAAAAAACUAGAUUUUUUAAAGAUAUUAUAUGUAUUUCUCAAUUCUAAAAAAUAAUGUAUAAUAUUGUAUUAUAUUAUUUAAAGAAUAUAAAAUAAGACCACAUAAUAUAAAUAUAUUUUUUAUAUUUUCUUUGUGAAAAUCAUUAUGUUGUUUGAUUGUUGUACUUAAUUCACAUAUUUGCAUAGAUAUUUGUGAUAGAUGAAUAACUAUAUUUUUAUUAUCAGUAAAUAAUAUAUAUUUAUUAUAUAAUAUAAGAAAAAUGGAAUUAUUUACUUUUUAACAAACUUGUCUCAUGUUGGGGACUCGGUUAUAGACAUAUCAUAUUCGAAUGAAACAUUUUUACACUUAUCAAUCUUCUUAACAAUCAAGAAACAAAUCUGAAUAUCAAAACAUUUGUUGUUUUAGAGAAAAAAAUUCAUCAUAAAAUAAGUAUUAUUUUAAAAUUUCAAAAUAAAAUUUAGUAGUUUUAAAUUUUUUUUAUUAGUUAAAACAUGGUUAUAUGUAUAGACAAUGAUGUUUUUUAUUAAAAAUAUACAAAAUUAAAUAUUUUAUUAAUUUUUGUGUGUACUUAGAAUGAGAAUUAAAUCGAAACAGAAAGAGUAAACAUUUCAUAAUAUUAUAUCCUUUGGAAAAAAUGCCGUGUGGAUAUCAAGUAGUAAUGUCCACCACCCGUGAAUAAAAAAUGUCAGCCAACAAACAAUUGAUAAACAAAGGAAACCAAUUUACUAUAAAGCCAACCACAAUUAUAUUCUCCAUGAACUUGUUUUUAAUGCUUUUUAUUUGUUUAGUUACCUUUGAUGGUUGAGAAAAACAAAAUUAUUAGAGUAAGUAAGGUGCUUAGGAAAUUGCAUCUUCAGCUUUGCUUUUUUGAAGCGUUAUUAUUGACUUAUAAUAAGACAGACCUCAUCACACAUGAAAAGUUAGGAAAAAAAUUUCAUAUCAAAGCCCAGCAAAUAAGCAAGCAAGCCACAUGUUUGUUUCCUCUCUCAUAUGAUCUUAACAAAAAAAUCUUUUAUUGAAAAGAAAAACCAAAAAGGUGAUUAAUAUUUUUAACUACCAAUUUAGUGAAGAAAAAUCAUGUCUUGUGCUUGCUUUGUUGUUGUUGUUCAUAUUGUUUUUCUUGAGUGAUUUUAAUAGAUACCAAACAUGGACCUGUAGAUUUAAUUCCCAAUUUGCCCUUUUCUUCUUCCCUUCAUCCCUUAGAUUGUUUUUUUUCUUUCCUGGGAAUAUAGAAAAGGUUGUGGUGAAUGAUUUUUAUUUUAUUUUUGCAAAUAUGUAAUAAGGACAUGUGAGGUUUCUUCAUCAAUUUCGUAAAUAAUCUGAUUCUUUGGUCGAGUUUAGGGUUAGAUCUGAUGAAAUCUGGAAUUUUUUUAAAAAAAUUACAUAUUUACUAUUUUUUGUAAAUUACUAGGGUUCCUCAGAUCUUUCAAAUCCUUGUCACUGAUUCUGAGUUUUGAUUUCAUGAAUCUGGCUGCAGUUGAUGGACCCUUGACCAUCCAAUUCAAGAAACCCUAGAUUCAACUAUGUAAGCAAUUUUUUCUCCCUUUUUAUUUUGUUUUAUGGGUCUUUUUAAAAAAUUUAAAUUGAUUGGCUUUUACAUAUAUUCCAUCAGGUGAUGUAUUAUUAGUAUUUUCAUUUGUUUCUUUUUUUAAAAAAAAUUAUUGGCUUGUGAUAUUCCUGAGACAUGAUGUUAUAUUGGUGUUGGCAGAGUAUGUGUAUGUAAUGGGGACAGAGCUAAUGAGAGUCUGUAUGAAAGAAGAGAGUGAUGAGUUACCAUCUGUUCCUCCUGGCUUUGAAUCAUAUGCUACUUUCACUUUAAAAAGACCACUCCCUAGUGCUGCUGCUGCUGAUAAAACCAUGGAAAGUUCUGUAACCGAACAAGCUAAUAAGAUGGAGGAGAUUGAAUCCGAUGAACUCAAAGCUGCUCGGUCUCUACGGCGUAGACCUUGGAUCAACUAUGACAAUGCAUCUCCUCAAAAUCUUGAUCAAGUUAGAUCUUUUUCUUUCCUUAUGCAAUUGCAGCAACUUGUGUGUGCUUUCUUUCUCAUUCAUUGCGUCGUUUGCAGAAGAAGCCUUCUCUACCAAAGGGUGUGACCCGGGGAUGUGCAGACUGUAAUGACUGCCAGAAGGUUGAUAAUCUCAAUUAAUGCUCACAACUUCAGAAAGAACUUAACACUUAGAUGCCUUACUAUUUCUUGUUUCAUAUUCACAGGUAACUGCGAGAUGGCAUCCAGAUGAAGCUCGUAGGCCCGACCUUGAAGACGCCCCUAUAUUCUACCCAACCGAAGAGGUCUUGUUUGCAUUCUUUACUUACUACUCUAUAUAGAUCCUUAUUUUUCUGACAUGAACUGUGGCAAACCUGUUUCCAGGAGUUUGAAGACACUCUGAGUUAUAUAGCUAAAAUAAGACCAAAGGCUGAAAAGUAUGGAAUCUGCCGCAUUGUUCCUCCUCCUUCCUGGAAACCCCCUUGCCCUCUGAAGGAAAAGCAACUAUGGGAAGGCUCUAAAUUCACCACACGUGUCCAAAGAGUGGAUAAGCUUCAGAACCGGAGCUCAAUGAAGAAGAUUCUUUCUAAUCAGAUGAGAAGGAAGAAAAGAAAGUGCAUGAAAACGGGAGUGGAUGCUGUCACUAACGGCAAUGCAAGCACAGAAACGAGUGGAUUUGAGACGUUUGGGUUUGAGCCUGGUCCAGGGUUCACUCUAAACGACUUCAAAAAGUAUGCUGAUGAGUUCAAGGCCCAGUACUUUAAAAAGAGUGAAACUUCUUCUGUUGGUAACUCCUGGGAGCCAGGUGUUGAGGAUGUUGAAGGUGAAUAUUGGCGGAUAGUUGAUAAAGCAACUGAAGAGAUAGAGGUGAAGUUUUUUCUUUUUAUUUGGAGGUUUUAUUGUCUAUUUAGUGCAUCUGUAUCUCUUGACUGAGGCUGUGUUGAUUCUUUGAUAUAGGUGCUAUAUGGUGCUGACCUUGAAACUGGAGUAUUUGGUAGCGGAUUCCCCAAGAUAUCAUCAUCUUCUUCUUCUUCAGACGAAAAAUAUGCAAAAUCGGGAUGGAACCUUAAUAAUUUCUCAAGGCUUCCAGGGUCCCUUCUUAAGCAUGAGGGCAGUGAUAUUUCAGGUGUCCUUGUACCUUGGUUGUAUAUUGGGAUGUGCUUUUCUUCUUUCUGCUGGGUAAGAUUUGAUCUCUAUGAGUAGCAUAUGCUUAGUUGGAGUAUCUUCCUGUUAUUCUAUUUUGUUAUUACAAUAGAUGUAUUUUUCAUUAUAGCAUAUGCUUAGUUUGUGUUAUUGUUUUUUUUACCAAAAUAGCAUGUUGAAGAUCACCACUUGUAUUCGUUAAACUACAUGCACUGGGGUGCACCAAAACUAUGGUACGGUGUUGCGGGGAAGGACGCUGUUAAACUCGAGGAGGCGAUGAGAAAGCAUUUGCCUGACCUUUUCGAAGAACAGCCUGAUUUGCUUCAUAAGCUAGUAAGUUUUUUAAAUCCAUAGUUUAAAUUGUUUCGGUAUUGGUUACAUAAAAAUAAAUCCUUUGAUACUCUCAUGUAGGUAACACAACUCUCCCCAUCAAAACUGAAAACAGCAGGAGUACCUGUGCACCGCUGCGUCCAGCACGCUGGAGAGUUUGUCUUGACGUUUCCCCGGGCGUACCACGCUGGAUUCAACUGCGGUUUCAACUGUGCUGAAGCUGUGAAUGUAGCGCCAGUUGACUGGCUACCUCAUGGGCAGAUUGCCAUUGAGUUAUACUGUCAACAGGGUAGAAAAACGUCCAUCUCACACGAUAAAUUGCUGCUUGGGGCUGCAAGAGAAGUAGUGAAAGCGGAUUGGGAGCUGAACUUACUAAAGAAAAAUACUUUAGACAACUUGAGGUGGAAACAGUUCAGCGGAAAGGAUGGAGUCUUGGCAAAAACACUCAAGGCACGGAUUGACAUUGAGCGUACGAGAAGAGAGUUUCUGUGCAGCUCUUCGCUUGCAUUGAAGAUGCAUAGUAAUUUUGAUGCUACCAACGAGAGAGAGUGCUGUAUAUGCUUCUUUGACUUGCACCUGUCCGCUGCUGGCUGCCGUUGUUCUCCAGAGAAGUAUACGUGUUUGACUCAUGUGAAGCAGCUGUGUUCUUGUCCGUGGGUUAGUAGAUAUUUUCUGUUUCGGUAUGAUAUCGAUGAACUGAAUGUUCUAGUUGAGGCUGUGGAAGGGAAACUUAGUGCUGUGUAUAGAUGGGCGCGUCAGGAUUUAGGAUUGGCUUUAAGUGCACACGUGUCAGAAAGAAAGAUGGAGAUGGAUGAAGAAGGGAAAGUGCACAAGGACCUGAGUCCACAAGCAGAUGAGCAAUUAUCACCAAGCCAGUUUAUGAAGCCUGUCAAAGAAGAAACUGUUUCUGUUCCAAAAGAUUCAGUUUGCCAACCAUCUGAAGGAGGCAUGGUCUCUGUGGCAGCAGCUGCUAAGCCCACUAGUGGUAAAAAGAAUCCACGAGGUUCAGUUUCUUCUGGCAAGCAUUUGAGAAUAAUACGAGAAAGACCAACUCACGUUUUAGCGUUAGAAGCAAUUGGUAAAAACCCUGCUCCAAAUUUCGAAAAGCAAGGAACUUCUUUGCCUGAUACAUUAGCAUUGCCUACUAAUGACCAAAGAGCAAUGGGAGGGGAUGUACCGAGCUCUGUAUCGCAUACUGAAGUUAAUGCUGUAGCUGAUGAUGAUAUAUGUAAUAGAGUGGACAUUAGCAACCAACCUAGUAGCAGUAAAUCCAGAAUCUCUGGAGGUUUGGCUAUACUGGAUGUGGUUGAUGGGACAAGGAGGAGUAAAUCAAGUACACCAUCUUGUUCGCAAGAUAAUAAUGGGACAAGAAGAAGUAACUCAGGUACACCGACUUGUUCGCAA
Molecule: long non-coding RNA, 6560 nt
Filed under: Brassica napus (rape)
Lineage: Eukaryota; Viridiplantae; Streptophyta; Magnoliopsida; Brassicales; Brassicaceae
Description: long non-coding RNA (BNAP_LNC004818)
Source: RNAcentral